CCUUCCUUUAUCCCAGUGGGGCCCAGACCCGCGCAACCAGGCGGGGAGGGGAGGUGGGCGCGCGAUUGGGUUGCGAUCUGGAGCAGUGGGGACAGGUCAGGAACCGGCGCGUAUUUCUGCAGUGAGACCACAGGACGGACAUCGGCGCCUUCGGCUUCGAUGGAGUUGCGAUUUUGCUCUUUCCAGGGAAACAGUGGCAGGGUGUUUGCUGCUUAUCGGUUCCUGCGGAUAUGCCUGGGUCCCAGGACAUUCCACUGGAGGCUUGGACUGCAUUUAGGAGCCCCUAUCCCUUCCCUGUCCACACUGUUAGUGAGCAAUUUCAUAUGUUUGCAUUUAGACCCAUAGACUCAGAACGACUCAUCACACACACACACAGUGUACACUGACACACUCACAUUCGCACACUUAGGUAUACAGCCUGAUCCUUGCUCUGACCUGGUAACAACGCUUCCUCCUCCAGAGACUUUGAGAUAGAGCGAGCGAUCCCUGUGCACCAUUCAUCCAUGCUCCCACCUCGCCAGUAUGGCUGGCUUAGUUCUGGAAGGGGCUUAAGAGGAACAAGCCCCAGCUGUGCUUCUGGCUGGGACUUAAACCCCCCUUCUGGGCCCUAAAGCCACGCUUCUUUGUGGACCGGACCUGACUCUCCAGGAAUCUGGGAACCCGCUAUUUCACUCUAUUUUGGGACAAGAAAAAGGGGCUCUUUGGGGCCACUUCCUGCCUUCCCCUCAAGUAGGAUCUCCAGCCUGCAGAGGGUGCCUAGUCCUUCUUUGCCCAAGAACCAGUCCAAGAAGCCUUUCCUCUGUGCCUGGGAAAUGCAACCUUUUCUUGGGAGCAUGGUAGGGUGUUGGUGCUGAAGAACCAAGCAGCGACCCGUCUUGUAGCUGCCAUGUUUUGUCGAGGGGUUCUGGGGGUCCUGCUGCUUUAGAGCCACAUACUUCCACUUCCUGAUUCACUACUGUGAGCUGGUCAGAUGCCUAGAAGAGGAACAAGCGUUCAAAGUGAAAGUGGGCACAUUACCGGAAUAGUGCUGGGGAGAGUGCUGGAUUCUUUUCCACCCCAGGCGGACUGGUGAGAAGCCAGGCUUGGACCUGUCCUCUGCUCCUAGCUUGCACACUCAGCCCUAAACUCAGAGCAGCACGCAUACCACCCCUCACACACACCCCACCAUCUGCUGUCUAAGGCCCCUGGGCUUCCUGCAGGAUCCAGACCAAUGUGGCUGGGCUUGGGCUUUUAUCUGUCCUGAUCCUGGAUUUGUCCUGACCAAUGUAAGUGUCGCCCAAUAAAACCUUCUAUGACCCCCACACCAGCCACCCCCCCACCAAGUGUGCCCUUUCCUUCUUGACUUUUUAGCAGUUCUGGGUAAAUAUUGAUUUGCCCCCAGUUUACCUUCUCCCUGACUGGCCAUUUGCAGACUCAGGAACUAGCCUCUGUAGGGACUUGAUUUUUCUGUUACUUUCUGGCCGUUUCACCACCCCCCUUCCUCCCUCCAAGUGGCAUUGUAAAACUCACAGUGACAAAGAGACAGAGUAGGGUUCUAGGCCCCUGUUCCUGGGGACUUGAAGGCGGUUUUACAUACUGGUCAGACACGGCUGGAGGCCAAGGUCAAGUUGAAAGUUGCAGUCCAGCCAGCAUGAGAACUGCCAUGCGAGCGUAGAGACACAGGCAGCAGCAAAAGGCCCAUUGCCCACAUCCCCUCACUCUUAAUUUUCUCUCUCUUUUUAAAAUUCUCGCCUCUGACUCUGUUCGGCUGCCCAGAAUUUUUUGGUGCCUUCGUGGGGUUUUUGGGGCGGUGUUUACCGACUCUUCUCUGCCUCCGCCCUGCUCAGCCAGGGCUUUGAGCCUCUUCGGUUUUCCGGCCAGACCCGGAAAAACGAAAACACAGCUUGGGGAGCCCCCACUAGCCGGCGCCUGUGCCAGCUCACCUCUGGCCAUGGCGCAGCUGCCGGUGCACACGGCGGCCAAGGCCAGCUCCACAUUCUUCCCUCCCCCUCCCACUUCACCGUAGCCCCGAACCCUGCGCGCAGAGAAAGGGUCUCAGCUCCACAGACGACUGGGUCCCUCCUCACCAAAAAUGGUGAGACAAGAUUUCAUCUGUCGGCCGAGGAGCCACAAGCAGAGAGUCCCUGAGCAAGGAGACCUCCACCCCACACACACCAUUUCAGAACAACCAGGUUCCAGACUCCCAUGAGGAGCAUCUCCCACUGCAGAGCCUUGGCCAGCCGCGCCCGGACUCCUCAGAGCUGGCGCAAACUCCGUCCUCCAAAACUCGGCUCUGGGAGGCCUAAGUGACUCCGAAGCCGGCGGCAGCCGCGGCAGCGGCCGUGGUGGUGGAAGAGCUCUUUUCCCCGACAGUGCCACUGAUCGCUCUUCACUGGAGCUGGAAACAGCCUUCGCGGAAAGGACCGGAGCAUGCGUUAGAAGCAGAGGGAGCUUGGUGAAGGGCUCGGCUGGAAGGAGGAAACGCCUUCUCGCAGUGCGCGGCCAGCCCGCGGGGGACACCGGCUUGCUGGACUGCAGGGGCCCGUGCCACCCAGGAAGUGACCUGCGGGUCACUCAGCCGGGGCGCUGGGCGAGCGCGGGACGGCCCGGAGAAUUCCGUGCGGCUGCGACGGGAAAAGGACGAGGGGUCUCUGUACCCGACGCUGCCACUGGCCCAAAGGAAUUUUACCCGCGAGCGCCCACCCCACCCUAGCUUGAUGCUUACGCCCGCAACAAAACAGGAAACCAGGACUGGGCAGUGCAUUCUUUAAGUCAACAAAUACACUGAAGACUUCGAGCGUUUGAAGGAAGGAGGGGGUUUGCACGUAAGCCUGGCCCCGCCGGGCUCGGCUUUCUCGCUGAGAAAGCGGCGCAGGCAGCCAGGCGGCCUGGGCCCGCGGGGGUCCAUCUCGCCCUAGACUCCUAAGAACUCCCACGGCCCUGUUCCCAGCUGCGAAUUCUUAAUGCACAACGCGACGGAGGGAAGGAAAUUCACCAGCGCAGCGACGAGGAAGGGGAACUCAGGACCCCUUCAAGUACACACUGAGGUGUGAUCAGAGUUUUAUGGGCACUUUAUAUGCUGUAAUCAUAACGAUGUGUGUGCCUUGAUAUGCACGCAUAUUCACGCAUCAAACGUGCAUACACACACAGAGUGAAUGUGCGCAUCCAAUGUCAUGUGGGUGAAAUACAAGCAUCAUACCCAGCCCUACGAAAAAAAAAUUCACCCUGUCGGACCAGGCUGGUGACAUACUUCGCUGGCGCAUCUCCUUACUCACUCUUACUUUUCCGACCCCUCACCAUUCCCUCUCCUGUGGCUUGGUAAAUACACCUGCCCUCCGUGGAAGGUGAGUCCUGGACUGGCGUUGCCAGGUUCGCAUGUCCUCCCCAGAACCUCCGUCUGGCUCCAGGGACUCUCACUGAGCGGGUCUAGAGCACCCAGCACUUUUCAAGGAACAGCCGCGGUUCCUUUGUCCCGCGGCUCCAGCCCCGUUCGGCCCAGCUCUCAGGGAAACGAAGCGCUCAGUAAGAACUUUUGAUAUUAGUUUGUAUGGGUAUUUACACUCUGGUGAGGGGAGCUGAGUACGGAAGUUCCAUUAAUCAUACUCCAACCUUGGGUUUAGAUAUUCAGUUUAUGGGUUGGGAGAGGGAGUUUGCCGGAAAGAAAGCAUCAAGGUUGGCCGCUGACUCCAGAGAAAUGAAAAGGGAGCAAGGUCGUUUUCUGUUUCUGGAAAUCAAGAAUUAGGAAUGGGCAACUACAGGUGCUAACCAACAGACCACUUUUUUGUUUUUUGGUAGCCCUUUGGCAGGGAUAGUUUUUCCACCUUUGCCCGAUACAAUUUAAAAAAAAAAAUCCUUUUAUUAUGGAAUUUGUCAAACACACACACAAGCAUAACAAACCCCUAGGUACCCAUCUCCAAGUUUUGACCCCUAUUAUAAUUUCAUCUUCAGUGUUUUAUUAUCCACUUCCUCUCUCUCUAUCUUUAGUAUUUUAAAGUAAAUCCCAGAUAGCAUCACAUCAUUUCACCCCCACCAUAGGAUUUCAAAGAUCUGUUAUAUUUCAAGAUUGAGUAAAAGGGCUUGAAAUUGGGUUAUUGCAAUGAAACUCUAGAAAAAGCUUGAGGGUUCACCCAGGAGUAAGCUGGACAAAAAAGGGGUUUGAGGGGUGGACCCAUCUUGCCUAAAAAUCUUGUCUCAUCUUUCUAAAAAUUACAUAUGAAAGAGGAAGAUUUAUGUUACUUUUUUAUAUGAGAGAAUCGUCCUUUAAUAGAAAAUUUCUAUUGCUGCAUCAGAAUUAUGGAGGAACACAAAAAACAUACCUCAGUCCUUAGUGUGUCCUAAAUUAACACAUAUUCACUUAUUAGUGGGUAAAUGACUAUAUUUCAUUUCAGCACAACUUCUCCCCUGGUAGAAACACAAAAGAAAUUUCUAAUGAUUAAACUAGGAAAGUUUGCACUGAAUUGAUGGCUUAUCAGAGCAACCGCAGUUUUCAGGAAGAAAUUCAAUGCCAUGCGUUGAAAAUAUCCCCCUAGCAAUAAGGGAUUAUUUUUAAAAAAGAAUGAAUAAAGAUGUUCUGGUUUCUUUUGUUUUA
This 4567-nucleotide long non-coding RNA is filed under the name Homo sapiens (human). RNAcentral's name for it is "HSALNT0339957". The stretch from base 1322 to 1697 matches the Rfam family "HOXA transcript at the distal tip, conserved region 2". Lineage: Eukaryota; Metazoa; Chordata; Mammalia; Primates; Hominidae. The record is from RNAcentral.